This 66-nucleotide transfer RNA is filed under the name uncultured Eubacterium sp. It matches the Rfam family "tRNA". From Rfam's summary of the family: Transfer RNA (tRNA) molecules are approximately 80 nucleotides in length. Their secondary structure includes four short double-helical elements and three loops (D, anti-codon, and T loops). Lineage: Bacteria; Bacillati; Bacillota; Clostridia; Eubacteriales; Eubacteriaceae. RNAcentral also lists the same sequence under 5 other names. The record is from RNAcentral.
GGGCGUAGUUCAAUGGUAGAACACCAGCCUUCCAAGCUGGAUACGUGGGUUCGAUUCCCAUCGCCC